CCUACGGGGGGCUGCAGUGGGGGAUAUUGCACAAUGGAGGAAACUCUGAUGCAGCAACGCCGCGUGAGGGAAGAAGGUCUUCGGAUUGUAAACCUCUGUCCUCAGGGACGAUAAUGACGGUACCUGAGGAGGAAGCUCCGGCUAACUACGUGCCAGCAGCCGCGGUAAUACGUAGGGAGCAAGCGUUGUCCGGAUUUACUGGGUGUAAAGGGUGCGUAGGCGGCCCUGCAAGUCAGGGGUGAAAACUAUGGGCUUAACUCAUAGAUUGCACUUGAAAAUGUGGGGCUUGAGUGAAGUAGAGGCAGGCGGAAGUACAGGUGUAGCGGUGGAAUGCGUAGAGAUCGGGAAGAACACCAGUGGCGAAGGCGGCCUGCUGGUCUGUAACUGACGCCGAGGAGCGAAAGCGUGGGGAGCAAGCAGGAUUAGAUACCCUGGUAGUC
This 440-nucleotide ribosomal RNA is filed under the name uncultured bacterium. Its description in RNAcentral is "bacterial SSU rRNA". It matches the Rfam family "Bacterial small subunit ribosomal RNA", at positions 338 to 795 of the family's 1533-position model. The record is from RNAcentral.